Molecule: small RNA, 126 nt
Filed under: Ligilactobacillus agilis
Lineage: Bacteria; Bacillati; Bacillota; Bacilli; Lactobacillales; Lactobacillaceae
Description: HNH endonuclease-associated RNA and ORF (HEARO) RNA
Rfam family: HNH endonuclease-associated RNA and ORF (HEARO) RNA
Source: RNAcentral
CCACCUACUAAAGUAGGUGGCUUGUAGUCAUUCGCUACAAGCUGGUUGAUUAGCCUAAGUUUUAAGUAACUACGUUAAGGUUGAAUAGAUAGGUACUUUGGAAUGCCACCCUAGUUCCAAACACUA